GGAGUUUGAUCAUGGCUCAGGAUGAACGCUAGCGGCAGGCCUAAUACAUGCAAGUCGAACGGUAAGUCCCGCCUCGGCGGGAACGCGAGUGGCGCACGGGUGCGUAACGCGUAUGCAACCUACCUUUAACAUGGGGAAUAGCCCCGAGAAAUCGGGAUUAAUACCCCAUAAUAAUAAAAUAUGACAUCAUUUUUUAUUUAAAGUUCCGGCGGUUAAAGAUGGGCAUGCGUGACAUUAGUUAGUUAGGUGAGGUAACGGCUCACCAAGGCAACGAUGUCUAGGGGUUCUGUAGAGGAUUAACCCCCACACUGGUACUAGAGACACGGACCAGACUCCUACGGGAGGCAGC
RNAcentral lists this ribosomal RNA (349 nucleotides) under uncultured bacterium. Its description in RNAcentral is "bacterial SSU rRNA". It matches the Rfam family "Bacterial small subunit ribosomal RNA", at positions 9 to 352 of the family's 1533-position model. The record is from RNAcentral.